GUGGGUACAGCCCAGUGGUAGAGCGCAUGCUUAGCAUGCAUGAGGUUCUGGGUUCAAUCCCCAAUACCUCCA
RNAcentral lists this transfer RNA (72 nucleotides) under Camelus bactrianus (Bactrian camel). It matches the Rfam family "tRNA". From Rfam's summary of the family: Transfer RNA (tRNA) molecules are approximately 80 nucleotides in length. Their secondary structure includes four short double-helical elements and three loops (D, anti-codon, and T loops). RNAcentral also lists the same sequence under 2 other names. The record is from Rfam by way of RNAcentral. Lineage: Eukaryota; Metazoa; Chordata; Mammalia; Artiodactyla; Camelidae.